CAGGUUGAUGCCGAAUGGUUAGGCACCUCUUUUGGGAAGAGGCUCAAGCUAGUUCGAUUCUAGUCAACCUGA
This is a non-coding RNA of Ogataea philodendri, 72 nucleotides long. Lineage: Eukaryota; Fungi; Ascomycota; Pichiomycetes; Pichiales; Pichiaceae. The record is from the annotation of a RefSeq genome assembly.